Malus domestica (apple) is the source of this 944-nucleotide non-coding RNA. The record is from RefSeq and is a predicted model, not a curated record. Lineage: Eukaryota; Viridiplantae; Streptophyta; Magnoliopsida; Rosales; Rosaceae.
UCUAAUAACUUAACUUUGAUUCAUUGUUAACCUGUAGGUUAAUCCGAAAGCUGCUGAGUCUUUAGCUGAUCCUGAAGAGUAUCCGAAUUUGUUCGAUGAUUGGCAAGUUGCUCUUUCUGUUGAAUCAAAAGCUGCAGAGACAAGGGGUGUCUAUCCUCCCGCAGAGGAGUACGUAAACCAUGUUGAUAAAGCACACAUCACCCUUGUGGAGGCUUUCAGGAAUAUGCAAUUGGAGGAAGAGGAGGAGCCUCUUGAAAAUGGGGAAGCAAGUCAUGAGGUUCCUGAACAGAAUGGUGAAGAAAAUGGGGUACAGGCUGCUGAAGAACAGGAUGGAGAAGAAGGGAGCCAGGAGGAGGCUGUUGUGGUGGAUGCUGAUUCUACGGAUGGUGCUGAACUCAUUAAUGGGAACGAGGCUGACGAAGAGUGGGGUACGAAUAAUGAAGGAACCUCGUCAGCCUAAAAAGCUAUUGGUUGGGCCAGUGUGAAAAUCCAAUUUUGUCUCUGUGCUUACACCACGUCACUAGGUCCCUAUGAAGACUGCUGGUCCAGCUGUAUGGAUCCUUUACGGAGGUCUCCUGCAAGGGGCUGACAAAGAGGUGAUGUAGCGGAUCGGUAGUCUCUGAUACCCGGUGGUGUGGCUUGUACCCGAGUUAUAGUUUGUCAUGGGGCACAACAUAAAUUAGUUUCAUAGCCGUAGUUAGUUUGCUCUUCCGAUUGCAGUUUUUAACAUAUUCUUUGAGGGCAUCUUCCGGUCAUAAAGUUUUUCUUGUGCCAUUGUGAAUGUAGAAAGAAUUGAGCUAGGGAUACAAGGUCGUCCAUUCAAAUUUUAGAUAUUUGGUUCCCCUUGACUCUUUAUUUUUUUGCGUGUUUUGGGAAUUCUUGAAAUGUGAGUUAUAUUGUAAACCUGUAUUCAUAAGAGUAUAUACAUUUUUAGCAUGAUACAA